RNAcentral lists this small nuclear RNA (338 nucleotides) under Myotis davidii. Its description in RNAcentral is "7SK RNA". It matches the Rfam family "7SK RNA". Rfam says of the family: 7SK was discovered as an abundant small nuclear RNA in the mid-70s but a possible function has only recently been suggested. The record is from Rfam by way of RNAcentral. Lineage: Eukaryota; Metazoa; Chordata; Mammalia; Chiroptera; Vespertilionidae.
GAAUGUGAGGGCGAUCUGGCUGCAACCUCUGUCACCCCAUUGAUCGCCAGGGUUGAUUCGGCUGAUCUGGCUGGCUAGGCCGGUGUCCCCCUCCUCCCUCACCGAUCCAUGUGCGUCCCUCCCGAAGCUGCGCGCUCGGUCGAAGAGGACGACCUCCCCCCCUCCCCCAGGAGAGGACCGGUCUUGGUCAAGGGUAUACGAGUAGCUGCGCUCCCCUGCCAGAAUCGCCAAACAAGCUCUCAAGUUUUCAAUUCCAUUUUGUCUUUUUUAAUAUAUUUUUUUAUUGAUUUCAGAGAGGAAGGGAGAGACAGAAACAUCAAUAAUGAGAAUCAUUCAUU